GUAGGUGAACCUGCGGAGGGAUCAUUAACAUCCACACCCCCUCACAGAGGGCUCGCUCCCUCGCAAUUUGUGAGGGCCGAGCUCUCUUGAGACACCCCUCUGAACUCUCCUACACACUAUACCCUACCCUGGAGGAGCGGGUCGGCCUGCGUGCAGCGUUGACCUCUCCUCUCCCCUUUUCUUACACACUUGACUUCUGACCCCAUUCUCCCCCAUUGCUUCGUCGUCUGCUUCUUGGCAGCGGCGGAUC
Molecule: unclassified non-coding RNA, 250 nt
Filed under: plant metagenome
Description: partial contains small subunit ribosomal RNA, internal transcribed spacer 1, and 5.8S ribosomal RNA
Source: RNAcentral